CAUCAUCACCAUCAUCCUGAUUAGUCUUUCGGGCGAUGUGUGCUGGAAGACGAUCAACGACUCUUCCGGUGGCUGAAAUGCGAAUUGAGAAAACCCUCGGAAGAUUAUCUUCCGAGGGUUUUUUUA
RNAcentral lists this small RNA (126 nucleotides) under Providencia alcalifaciens. RNAcentral describes it as "Histidine operon leader". It matches the Rfam family "Histidine operon leader". Rfam says of the family: At least 6 amino acid operons are known to be regulated by attenuation. In each a leader sequence of 150-200 bp is found upstream of the first gene in the operon. Lineage: Bacteria; Pseudomonadati; Pseudomonadota; Gammaproteobacteria; Enterobacterales; Morganellaceae. The record is from RNAcentral.